AGCCUCGAAAGGGGUGACGGCGUACCUUUUGUAUAAUGGGUCAGCGACUUACGUUCAGUAGCAAGCUUAACCGAAUAGGGCAGGCGUAGCGAAAGCGAGUCCGAAUAGGGCGUUCAGUUGCUGGGCGUAGACCCGAAACCAGGUGAUCUAUCCAUGGCCAGGAUGAAGGUGCGGUAACACGUACUGGAGGUCCGAACCCACUAACGUUGAAAAGUUAGGGGAUGAGCUGUGGAUAGGGGUGAAAGGCUAAACAAACCUGGAAAUAGCUGGUUCUCUCCGAAAACUAUUUAGGUAGUGCCUCGUGUCUCACCUUCGGGGGUAGAGCACUGUCAUGGUUGGGGGGUCUAUUGCAGAUUACCCCGCCAUAGCAAACUCCGAAUACCGAAGAGUGCAAUCACGGGAGACAGACAUCGGGUGCUAACGUCCGGUGUCAAGAGGGAAACAACCCAGACCGCCAGCUAAGGUCCCCAAAUAUGGCUAAGUGGGAAACGAAGUGGGAAGGCUAAAACAGUCAGGAGGUUGGCUUAGAAGCAGCCACCCUUUAAAGAAAGCGUAAUAGCUCACUGAUCGAGUCGUCCUGCGCGGAAGAUGUAACGGGGCUAAGCCAUAUACCGAAGCUGCGGAUGCGUGCUUGCACGCAUGGUAGGAGAGCGUUCCGUAAGCCUGCGAAGGUGCCUUGUAAAGGGUGCUGGAGGUAUCGGAAGUGCGAAUGCUGACAUGAGUAGCGAUAAAGGGGGUGAAAGGCCCCCUCGCCGUAAGCCCAAGGUUUCCUACGCAACGUUCAUCGGCGUAGGGUGAGUCGGCCCCUAAGGCGAGGCAGAAAUGCGUAGCUGAUGGGAAGCAGGUCAAUAUUCCUGCACCAUUGUUAGAUGCGAUGGGGGGACGGAUCGCGGAAGGUUGUCCGGGUGUUGGAAGUCCCGGUCGCUGCAUUGGAGAAGGCGCUUAGGCAAAUCCGGGCGCAGGAUUCAAGGGUGUGGCGCGAGCUCCUUCGGGAGCGAAGCAAUUGGAAGUGGUUCCAAGAAAAGCCUCUAAGCUUCAGUCUAACGAUGACCGUACCGCAAACCGACACAGGUGGGCGAGAUGAGUAUUCUAAGGCGCUUGAGAGAACUCGGGAGAAGGAACUCGGCAAAUUGGUACCGUAACUUCGGGAUAAGGUACGCCCUGGUAGCUUGACUGGCCUGCGCCAGGAGGGUGAAGGGGUUG
RNAcentral lists this ribosomal RNA (1203 nucleotides) under Salmonella enterica subsp. enterica serovar Typhimurium. Its description in RNAcentral is "partial 23S ribosomal RNA". It matches the Rfam family "Bacterial large subunit ribosomal RNA", at positions 578 to 1779 of the family's 2925-position model. Lineage: Bacteria; Pseudomonadati; Pseudomonadota; Gammaproteobacteria; Enterobacterales; Enterobacteriaceae. The record is from RNAcentral.